This 103-nucleotide small nuclear RNA is filed under the name Capsicum annuum. The record is from RNAcentral. Lineage: Eukaryota; Viridiplantae; Streptophyta; Magnoliopsida; Solanales; Solanaceae.
GUCCCCUCGGGGACAUCCGAUAAAAUUGAAACAAUACAGAGAAGAUUAGCAUGAUCCCUGCGGAAGGAUGAUACGAACAAAUUGAGAAAUGAUCCAAAUUUUU